GCCAGCCAACAUGAUGGCACUUGCCUGUGGUCCCAGCUACUCAAGAGGCUGAGGUUGCUUGAGUCCAGGAGUUCUGGGCUCUAGUAUGCUAUGCCAGUAGAGUGUCCACACUAAGUUCAGCAACAAUAUGGUGACCUCACAGGAGCAGGGGACCACCAGGUUGCCUAAGGAGGGAUGAACCCGCCCAGGUCAGAAAUGAACCAGGUUUAAAUUCCUGUGCUGAUUAAUAGCAGGAUGACACCUGUGAACAGCCACUGCACUCCAACCUGGGCCACAUAGCAAGAGUUGGUCUCA
Unclassified non-coding RNA from Chlorocebus sabaeus (green monkey), 294 nucleotides. It matches the Rfam family "Metazoan signal recognition particle RNA". From Rfam's summary of the family: The signal recognition particle (SRP) is a universally conserved ribonucleoprotein. The record is from Ensembl. Lineage: Eukaryota; Metazoa; Chordata; Mammalia; Primates; Cercopithecidae.